Molecule: ribosomal RNA, 906 nt
Filed under: uncultured bacterium
Lineage: Bacteria
Description: bacterial SSU rRNA
Rfam family: Bacterial small subunit ribosomal RNA
Source: RNAcentral
AGAGUUUGAUCAUGGCUCAGAGUGAACGCUAGCGGCGUGGUUAAGACAUGCAAGUCGAGCGAUGAAGUCCCUUCGGGGAUGGAAUAGCGGCAAACGGGUGCGUAACACGUGAGCAACCUGCCUUGAAGUGGGGGAUAGCCCGGGGAAACCCGGAUUAAUACCGCAUGUGGUCCCUUCUCGCAUGAGAAGUGGACCAAAGCUUGUAAAGGCGCUUCAAGAGGGGCUCGCGGCCUAUCAGCUUGUUGGUGAGGUAAAGGCUCACCAAGGCGAAGACGGGUAGCUGGUCUGGGAGGAUGAUCAGCCACACUGGGACUGAGAUACGGCCCAGACACCUACGGGUGGCAGCAGUUUCGAAUCAUUCACAAUGGGGGAAACCCUGAUGGUGCAACGCCGCGUGGAGGAUGAAGGCCUUCGGGUUGUAAACUCCUGUCACCAGGGAACAAACAGUCGGUUCGUAGCCGGCUCUGAGUUAACCUGGAGAGGAAGAGGUGGCUAACUCCGUGCCAGCAGCCGCGGUAAUACGGAGACCUCAAGCGUUACUCGGAUUCACUGGGCGUAAAGAGUAUGUAGGCUGUCUGGUAUGUCAGGUGUGAAAGCCCGGGGCUCAACCUCGGAAUUGCGCCUGAAACUACCGGACUCGAGGCCUGGAGAGGGGAGUGGAAUUCCUGGUGUAGCGGUGAAAUGCGUAGAUAUCAGGAGGAACACCAAUGGCGAANGCAGCUCCCUGGACAGGUUCUGACGCUGAGAUACGAAAGCGUGGGUAGCGAAAGGGAUUAGAUACCCCUGUAGUCCACGCCGUAAACGUUGUACACUAGGUUUCGGAGGGCCUACCCCUUCGGAGCUCCAGCUAACGCGUUAAGUGUACCGCCUGAGGACUACGGCCGCAAGGCUAAAACUCAAAGGAAU